Molecule: ribosomal RNA, 465 nt
Filed under: Vreelandella stevensii
Lineage: Bacteria; Pseudomonadati; Pseudomonadota; Gammaproteobacteria; Oceanospirillales; Halomonadaceae
Description: partial 16S ribosomal RNA
Rfam family: Bacterial small subunit ribosomal RNA
Source: RNAcentral
CCUACGGGAGGCUGCAGUGGGGAAUAUUGGACAAUGGGCGAAAGCCUGAUCCAGCCAUGCCGCGUGUGUGAAGAAGGCCUUCGGGUUGUAAAGCACUUUCAGUGGGGAAGAAAGCCUUGGGGCUAAUACCCUCGAGGAAGGACAUCACCCACAGAAGAAGCACCGGCUAACUCCGUGCCAGCAGCCGCGGUAAUACGGAGGGUGCGAGCGUUAAUCGGAAUUACUGGGCGUAAAGCGCGCGUAGGCGGUCUGAUAAGCCGGUUGUGAAAGCCCCGGGCUCAACCUGGGAACGGCAUCCGGAACUGUCAGGCUAGAGUGCAGGUGAGGAAGGUAGAAUUCCCGGUGUAGCGGUGAAAUGCGUAGAGAUCGGGAGGAAUACCAGUGGCGAAGGCGGCCUUCUGGACUGACACUGACGCUGAGGUGCGAAAGCGUGGGUAGCAAACAGGAUUAGAUACCCCAGUAGUC